GGGCCCUUAGCUCAGCUGGUUAGAGCAGUGGACUCAUAAUCCAUUGGUCCGGGGUUCAAGUCCCUGAGGGCCCA
Molecule: transfer RNA, 74 nt
Filed under: Fidelibacterota bacterium
Lineage: Bacteria; Pseudomonadati; Fidelibacterota
Description: tRNA-Ile
Rfam family: tRNA
About the family: Transfer RNA (tRNA) molecules are approximately 80 nucleotides in length. Their secondary structure includes four short double-helical elements and three loops (D, anti-codon, and T loops).
Source: RNAcentral